RNAcentral lists this ribosomal RNA (447 nucleotides) under uncultured bacterium. RNAcentral describes it as "partial 16S ribosomal RNA". It matches the Rfam family "Bacterial small subunit ribosomal RNA", at positions 29 to 523 of the family's 1533-position model. The record is from RNAcentral.
AACGAACGCUGGCGGCAGGCUUAACACAUGCAAGUCGAGCGCCCCGCAAGGGGAGCGGCAGACGGGUGAGUAACGCGUGGGAAUCUACCCAUCCCUACGGAAUAGCUCCGGGAAACUGGAAUUAAUACCGUAUACGCCCUACGGGGGAAAGAUUUAUCGGGGAUGGAUGAGCCCGCGUUGGAUUAGCUAGUUGGUGGGGGAAAGGCCUACCAAGGCGACGAUCCAUAGCUGGUCUGAGAGGAUGAUCAGCCACAUUGGGACUGAGACACGGCCCAAACUCCUACGGGAGGCAGCAGUGGGGAAUAUUGGACAAUGGGGGCAACCUUGAUCCAGCCAUGCCGCGUGAGUGAUGAAGGCCUUAGGGUUGUAAAGCGCUUUCACCGGGGAAGAUAAUGACGGUAACCGGAGAAGAAGCCCCGGCUAACUUCGUGCCAGCCGCCGCGGUAA